UAUUUUAAAACUAUAUAAUACCAUUAAUGUGGAACGCUUCACGAUGGCAAGGCCCCUGCGCAAGAAUGACACACAAAAUCGUGAAGCGUUCCACAUUUAU
Molecule: small nuclear RNA, 100 nt
Filed under: Danaus plexippus plexippus
Lineage: Eukaryota; Metazoa; Arthropoda; Insecta; Lepidoptera; Nymphalidae
Source: RNAcentral